UGGGGAAUAUUGCACAAUGGGGGAAACCCUGAUGCAGCAACGCCGCGUGCGGGAUGACGGCCUUCGGGUUGUAAACCGCUUUCAGCCAUGACGAAGCUUUUGUGACGGUAGUGGCAGAAGAAGCACCGGCUAACUACGUGCCAGCAGCCGCGGUGAUACGUAGGGUGCGAGCGUUGUCCGGAAUUAUUGGGCGUAAAGAGCUUGUAGGCGGUUUGUCGCGUCGAAAGUGUAAACUCAGUGCUUAACGCUGAGCCUGCUUUCGAUACGGGCUGACUAGAGGAAGGUAGGGGAGAAUGGAAAUCCCGGUGGAGCGGUGGAAUGCGCAGAUAUCGGGAGGAACACCAGUGGCGAAGGCGGUUCUCUGGACCUUUCCUGACGCUGAGAAGCGAAAGCGUGGGUAGCAAACAGG
Molecule: ribosomal RNA, 409 nt
Filed under: bacterium
Lineage: Bacteria
Description: partial 16S ribosomal RNA
Rfam family: Bacterial small subunit ribosomal RNA
Source: RNAcentral